RNAcentral lists this long non-coding RNA (232 nucleotides) under Ricinus communis (castor bean). RNAcentral's name for it is "long non-coding RNA (RCOM_LNC001565)". The record is from RNAcentral. Lineage: Eukaryota; Viridiplantae; Streptophyta; Magnoliopsida; Malpighiales; Euphorbiaceae.
UAUCGAUUUGAGACUUCAUGCUAUGAUACACCCGAGAAGGGUAGUUGCAAGUUUGCUUAUGACAGGUCACCUCGACAGGAUUUGGAGUGGAUGAUUGGGCAUCCCAACUCAGUAUGGAGAGCACCUCCUUGGCCAUCUGCUGCACACAUUGGACCGCCUCCUUGCGGUUAUAUGCCUCAAGCCCCAGCUUACAAUGCACCCACACAGUGCAGGGAUGCUGCUGCAGAGUCUA